RNAcentral lists this ribosomal RNA (256 nucleotides) under Salmonella enterica subsp. enterica serovar Kentucky. RNAcentral describes it as "partial 16S ribosomal RNA". It matches the Rfam family "Bacterial small subunit ribosomal RNA", at positions 999 to 1255 of the family's 1533-position model. The record is from RNAcentral. Lineage: Bacteria; Pseudomonadati; Pseudomonadota; Gammaproteobacteria; Enterobacterales; Enterobacteriaceae.
UCCAGAGAUGGAUUGGUGCCUUCGGGAACUGUGAGACAGGUGCUGCAUGGCUGUCGUCAGCUCGUGUUGUGAAAUGUUGGGUUAAGUCCCGCAACGAGCGCAACCCUUAUCCUUUGUUGCCAGCGAUUAGGUCGGGAACUCAAAGGAGACUGCCAGUGAUAAACUGGAGGAAGGUGGGGAUGACGUCAAGUCAUCAUGGCCCUUACGACCAGGGCUACACACGUGCUACAAUGGCGCAUACAAAGAGAAGCGACCU